This is a non-coding RNA of Stegostoma tigrinum, 87 nucleotides long. NCBI's taxonomy places the organism in Eukaryota, Metazoa, Chordata, Chondrichthyes, Orectolobiformes, Stegostomatidae. The record is from the annotation of a RefSeq genome assembly.
GCCAGAGUGUUUCCUAGUGGUCUAGGGUUCAGGGUUCAAACCUGUAGCUGUCUAGCUACUGAGUGGUUUAAUUCCACCUUCCAGGCA